This 329-nucleotide ribosomal RNA is filed under the name uncultured bacterium. Its description in RNAcentral is "bacterial SSU rRNA". It matches the Rfam family "Bacterial small subunit ribosomal RNA", at positions 8 to 334 of the family's 1533-position model. The record is from RNAcentral.
AGGGUUUGAUUAUGGCUCAGGACGAACGCUGGCGGCGCGCCUAGCACAUGCAAGUCGAACGGAGCUUAGAGAGCUUGCUUUUUAAGCUUAGUGGCGAACGGGUGAGUAACGCGUAUCCAACCUGCCUUACACUCUUGGACAGCCUUCUGAAAGGGAGAUUAAUACAAGAUGUUAUCAUGAGUAAGCAUUUUCGCAUGAUUAAAGGUUUACCGGUGUAAGAUGGGGAUGCGUUCCAUUAGAUAGUAGGCGGGGUAACGGCCCACCUAGUCUUCGAUGGAUAGGGGUUCUGAGAGGAAGGUCCCCCACAUUGGAACUGAGACACGGUCCAA